GGUAUGUAAAAAAUCCACAGAUCAAUACCUUCUAAUGAGAAUCAGAUCGUUGUAUAUUAGCCGUUCAUUGACUGUAAAUGUGUGGAUGAGAUCGCCCACACUAAUUUUCUUCUUCUCUGUGAAAAUUGAACAGGGUGGUAUUCAUAUUUGUGGCUUCCAUUCAUCCCAUUGGUGGUAGGUUUUCCUGGAAUUAUAACAAUAAUAAUUGAGAAAUGCAAAAUUAAAAAGAAUAGCAAUAUGUUUCAUACAAAAAUUGGCAGAUACUUCUGCUGGUGGGAACAAAGCUCCAAGUUAUCAUCACAAAAAUGGCAUUAGAGAUCAUGGAGUACGAUGACGUCGUUAAAGGUGUUCCGGUGGUUCAACCAGCUGAUAGACAUUUCUGGUUUCAUAACCCUAAACUUCUCCUCAAUCUCAUCAACUUUGUUCUUUUUGAGGUAAGCAAAUUCAUUCUCUGUUAGCUUCAAUAAAAUUCAUUCUCUGUCAAUUAUUCUUAACACAAAAUUUUGAGAACUAAAUUAAAUAUAUGUGUGUGUAAAUUUGCAGAAUGCAUUUCAACUUGCUUUCUUCAUAUUUAGUUGGGUAAGUGGGUAAUUAAUUGAUUAGUUAAAUAAAUAAAUUCAUUAAUGCAGAAUUCUAUAUAUAAAUAUGAUUAAUAACUAUCUCUAAUCUUCAUUAAUUUUAUACUAACUACUUACAGUAUAAAUUCGGACUCCAGUCUUGCUUCCAUGAAGAAACAGAGGAUAUCGUGAUCAGGAUAUCCAUGGGGUAAGUUUACCGACUGCCAUUUUUUUUUGUAUCAUUAAAUGAUUCAUCAUUAACAAAUCGAUUCCUGCAAAAUCAAUCCAGAAUCAUAACGCAGAUUCUAUGUAGCUACGUUACACUCCCACAGUAUGCAUUGGUAACACAGGUGAGAACUCGAUUUUCCAAAAUCCAAAUCAACCAAAAUCAGAUUACUUAGAAAUCGAUUUUUUCACAGAUGGGAUCGAAGAUGAAACCCGUCAUCUUCAACGAUAGAGUAGCCAAGUCGUUGAAGUACUGGCACAACACGGCCCGACGACGUGUAAAAGACAGUCGGAAGUCCGACUCAGUGACGCCGAACACUAGCCAGACUACGACUCCGACGCACGGAUUUUCACCGAUGUACCUUCUGAAGAAUCACCAGAAAGAGAUCGAGAUCAGCAGCUUUGAAAGCUUCAACAACUCGCCGAGGUACCACACUAGCCGUGAUUCGCAGGAUCGAUUCG
This 1244-nucleotide long non-coding RNA is filed under the name Zostera marina. RNAcentral's name for it is "long non-coding RNA (ZMAR_LNC003501)". Lineage: Eukaryota; Viridiplantae; Streptophyta; Magnoliopsida; Alismatales; Zosteraceae. The record is from RNAcentral.